UAAUACGGAGGGAGCUAGCGUUGUUCGGAAUUACUGGGCGUAAAGCGUACGUAGGCGGUUACUCAAGUCAGAGGUGAAAGCCCGGGGCUCAACCCCGGAACUGCCUUUGAAACUAGGUAGCUAGAAUCUUGGAGAGGUCAGUGGAAUUCCGAGUGUAGAGGUGAAAUUCGUAGAUAUUCGGAAGAACACCAGUGGCGAAGGCGACUGACUGGACAAGUAUUGACGCUGAGGUACGAAAGCGUGGGGAGCAAACAGGAUUAGAUACCCCUGGUAGUCCACGCCGUAAACGAUGAUAACUAGCUGUCCGGGCACUUGGUGCUUGGGUGGCGCAGCUAACGCAUUAAGUUAUCCGCCUGGGGAGUACGGUCGCAAGAUUAAAACUCAAAGGAAUUGACGGGGGCCUGCACAAGCGGUGGAGCAUGUGGUUUAAUUCGAAGCAACGCGCAGAACCCUUACCAGCGUUUGACAUCCUCAUCGCGAUUU
RNAcentral lists this ribosomal RNA (483 nucleotides) under uncultured Novosphingobium sp. RNAcentral's name for it is "bacterial SSU rRNA". It matches the Rfam family "Bacterial small subunit ribosomal RNA", at positions 521 to 1001 of the family's 1533-position model. The record is from RNAcentral. Lineage: Bacteria; Pseudomonadati; Pseudomonadota; Alphaproteobacteria; Sphingomonadales; Sphingomonadaceae.